RNAcentral lists this non-coding RNA (27 nucleotides) under Mus musculus (house mouse). Lineage: Eukaryota; Metazoa; Chordata; Mammalia; Rodentia; Muridae. The record is from RNAcentral.
UGUGUUUGCUGGGCCCCGGCAUAGUCU